AACGAACGCUGGCGGCAUGCCUAACACAUGCAAGUCGAACGAGACCUUCGGGUCUAGUGGCGCACGGGUGCGUAACGCGUGGGAACCUGCCCUUAGGUUCGGAAUAACUCCCCGAAAGGGGUGCUAAUACCGGAUAAUGUCUUCGGACCAAAGAUUUAUCGCCUUUGGAUGGGCCCGCGUUGGAUUAGCUAGUUGGUAGGGUAAAAGCCUACCAAGGCGACGAUCCAUAGCUGGUCUGAGAGGAUGAUCAGCCACACUGGGACUGAGACACGGCCCAGACUCCUACGAGAGGCAGCAGUGGGGAAUAUUGGACAAGGGGCGAAAGCCUGAUCCAGCAAUGCCGCGUGAGUGAUGAAGGCCUUAGGGUUGUAAAGCUCUUUUACCCGGGAUGAUAAUGACAGUACCGGGAGAAUAAGCUCCGGCUAACUCCGUG
RNAcentral lists this ribosomal RNA (433 nucleotides) under uncultured bacterium. Its description in RNAcentral is "partial 16S ribosomal RNA". It matches the Rfam family "Bacterial small subunit ribosomal RNA", at positions 29 to 507 of the family's 1533-position model. The record is from RNAcentral.